ACUGAUUGUCCAGAUUUUUUGACUGCUCCUACUGGCCAGCAUAUCUUUUUUUGCUUGACAGCACAUUGGUAGCUUAACAGCACCAUGGUUUUCUUGACAGCACUGUGGAUUACUUGACAGCACUGUGGUCCCUGGACAUGGUGAUGGAAGUGGAGGAGGUCCAACCUUGUGUAGCACAUUUCUCCUGCUACAUCCAUAUAUGGUGGAUGAAAAGCACACUUCAGAAAACAUCUUGCAGGCAAUCAGAUGGCAAAUUGGUUGUAUGUGCAUCUAGGAUUAGUAGUCACUGCUAACGUGUGUUUGAAACUCAGGUGUUUCUGGAAAAAUGGUUUGACUAAGGUGACUUUUCUCACCGUGCACAAGUCUGUCAGUCAGUGUUUGAUGUUACAGUAAUCUCUGAGGAGACCAUACAUAAAUUCUGAUUGUAAUACAUUACCAGUUUAAUUCCCAUUUAAGUUUAAUGUAGAAGUUGGAUAUCAUUAAAUACUUUUAAACAACUGUGUUGUGUUUUAUAUAAAUAUGUCAAAGCAUACAUUUAACCUUUAAGAAGACAAAAAGAGGAAAGAAAGGUGGAAGAAUAAAAAAAAA
This is a non-coding RNA of Pelobates cultripes (western spadefoot toad), 588 nucleotides long. Lineage: Eukaryota; Metazoa; Chordata; Amphibia; Anura; Pelobatidae. The record is from the annotation of a GenBank genome assembly.